AAUCAACGCUGGCGGCGUGCCUCAGACAUGCAAGUCGAACGCGAAAGGUUCCUUCGGGAGCCGAGUAGAGUGGCGCUCGGGUGAGUAACACGUAGGUAAUUUGCCUUUGGGUGGGGAAUAACAAUCGGAAACGGUUGCUAAUACCGCAUAAUGCAGCGGCUCGACAUCGAGACAGUUGUUAAAGCGGGGGAGUCCUUCGGGACCUCGCGCCUAAAGAGAAGCCUGCGGCGGAUUAGCUAGUUGGUGAGGUAAUGGCUCACCAAGGCGACGAUCCGUAACCGGCCUGAGAGGGCGGACGGUCACACUGACACUAAUACGGGUCAGACUCCUGCGGGAGGCAGCAGUCGGGAAUUUUGGGCAAUGGGCGAAAGCCUGACCCAGCAACGCCGCGUGAAGGAUGAAAUCCCUCGGGAUGUAAACUUCGCAAGAACGGGAAGAAUAAGCGAGAGUAAAUACCUCUCGUGA
RNAcentral lists this ribosomal RNA (465 nucleotides) under uncultured bacterium. RNAcentral's name for it is "bacterial SSU rRNA". It matches the Rfam family "Bacterial small subunit ribosomal RNA", at positions 32 to 472 of the family's 1533-position model. The record is from RNAcentral.